ACACAUGCAGUCGAACGAUGAAAGGAANGGAGCUUGCUCCUCUGGAUUAGUGGCGAACGGGUGAGUAAUACGUGAGCAAUGUGCCCUUGACUCUGGGAUAAGCGCUGGAAACGGCGUCUAAUACCGGAUACGACCCUCGGAGGCAUCUCCUGAUGGUGGAAAGAACUUCGGUCAAGGAUCAGCUCACGGCCUAUCAGCUAGUUGGUGAGGUAACGGCUCACCAAGGCGACGACGGGUAGCCGGCCUGAGAGGGUGACCGGCCACACUGGGACUGAGACACGGCCCAGACUCCUACGGGAGGCAGCAGUGGGGAAUAUUGCACAAUGGGCGCAAGCCUGAUGCAGCAACGCCGCGUGAGGGACGAAGGCCUUCGGGUUGUAAACCUCUUUUAGCAGGGAAGAAGCGAAAGUGACGGUACCUGCAGAAAAAGCACCGGCUAACUACGUGCCAGCAGCCGCGGUAAUACGUAGGGUGCAAGCGUUGUCCGGAAUUAUUGGGCGUAAAGAGCUCGUAGGCGGUUUGUCGCGUCUGCUGUGAAAACCCGAGGCUCAACCUCGGGCUUGCAGUGGGUACGGGCAGACUAGAGUGCGGUAGGGGAGAUUGGAAUUCCUGGUGUAGCGGUGGAAUGCGCAGAUAUCAGGAGGAACACCGAUGGCGAAGGCAGAUCUCUGGGCCGUAACUGACGCUGAGGAGCGAAAGCAUGGGGAGCAAACAGGCUUAGAUACCCUGGUAGUCCAUGCCGUAAACGUUGGGAACUAGAUGUGGGGACCAUUCCACGGUCUCCGUGUCGUAGCU
Molecule: ribosomal RNA, 795 nt
Filed under: unidentified microorganism
Description: bacterial SSU rRNA
Rfam family: Bacterial small subunit ribosomal RNA
Source: RNAcentral